Molecule: ribosomal RNA, 611 nt
Filed under: uncultured bacterium
Lineage: Bacteria
Description: bacterial SSU rRNA
Rfam family: Bacterial small subunit ribosomal RNA
Source: RNAcentral
GCCUAACACAUGCAAGUCGAACGGAGUUAUUUUGGAAAGUUCCUUCGGGGACUGGAAUCUAUAACUUAGUGGCGGACGGGUGAGUAACGCGUGAGCAAUCUGCCUUUAGGAGGGGGAUAACAGUCGGAAACGGCUGCUAAUACCGCAUAAUACGUUUUAGAGGCAUCUCUUGAACGUCAAAGAUUUUAUCGCCUUUAGAUGAGCUCGCGUCUGAUUAGCUAGUUGGCGGGGUAACGGCCCACCAAGGCGACGAUCAGUAGCCGGACUGAGAGGUUGAACGGCCACAUUGGGACUGAGACACGGCCCAGACUCCUACGGGAGGCAGCAGUGGGGAAUAUUGCGCAAUGGGGGCAACCCUGACGCAGCAACGCCGCGUGAUUGAAGAAGGCCUUCGGGUUGUAAAGAUCUUUAAUCAGGGACGAAGAAUGACGGUACCUGAAGAAUAAGCUCCGGCUAACUACGUGCCAGCAGCCGCGGUAAUACGUAGGGAGCAAGCGUUAUCCGGAUUUACUGGGUGUAAAGGGCGCGCAGGCGGGCCGGCAAGUUGGGAGUGAAAUCCGGGGGCUUAACCCCCGAACUGCUUUCAAAACUGCUGGUCUUGAGUGAUGGAG